This 240-nucleotide ribosomal RNA is filed under the name uncultured bacterium. RNAcentral's name for it is "partial 16S ribosomal RNA". It matches the Rfam family "Bacterial small subunit ribosomal RNA", at positions 1250 to 1500 of the family's 1533-position model. The record is from RNAcentral.
CGAGGCUGUGAAGCGGAGCAAAUCUCAAAAACCGGUCCCAGUUCGGAUUGUAGGCUGCAACUCGCCUACAUGAAGUCGAAGUUGCUAGUAAUCGCGGAUCAGAAUGCCGCGGUGAAUGCGUUCCCGGGUCUUGUACACACCGCCCGUCACACCAUGGAAGUUGGGGGCGCCCGAAGUUGCCUAAGAAAUAAGGUACCUAAGGCGAAACCAAUGACUGGGGUGAAGUCGUAACAAGGUAGC